UGGUGUCUCCAAUAUUUGUCUGUCCUUUCCCCUUUUGUAAUUUCCAAAGCAUUUGAUGGUGCACCCUUCUGUCCUUUUUAUUUCUCUUUUCCCUAACAAUGAAUUCAGCCAGUGAGAGGCUCCUGGUGUCAGCAUGACAGCGUGACUUUGGUCUUCAUUGGGAGCCUCCUCUGUACAUCCCAUAGCACCGCUAAAAUGCUCAACAAUUCCUAACUAUUCAGGAAGGAUAUCUAGCUGAUCCAGCAGCAUCUAGAGAUAACCCUGUUGGAGGGCCAUGUGGACAACUCUCCUGGGAAGAAGAGCAUUAUCUCCAUUCAGCUAAACCUGGCACUGUUUCCUUGAUUCAUAUGUACAGAGCUGGCUAGGGUUUUCCUUACCUUUCAGUUGGCUUUAAGCAAUGUAAAUCAGUCUGGCCAGGUGACAUGUGUAGUCUCUGAAGCAUGGUGACAGUCAGUGUUUCCUUGUCCCCAAGGCUCCCAAAAAACAUGUGUGAGUAGGGUGGGAGAGACAGCCAGGAUCCACACUGUCGGAGGGGGAUCAAGUCUCAAGAUAAGAGGCUGUGACUUCCCAGGGCACAAAAGAUUACACAUCAGAGCUGAAGCACUGACCCUGAAACAUUAGGUACUGCCUCAGACUGUGUUAUGGAGAUUAUUCCUUCUAUAUAUCCUUCUCUUUGUGUGUCCCAGAGGUGAUUUCAGGCCAGCUACCUAGCCCAGCUUACUCAUGUACUUUCCCCCACUCUACAGUUGCUCAUUCCUGAGUCACUCUUCUCAUCAAGAAUUAAUAAAACCUGGGUUUGACCUUG
Long non-coding RNA from Cavia porcellus (domestic guinea pig), 805 nucleotides. RefSeq lists it as uncharacterized. The record is from RefSeq and is a predicted model, not a curated record. NCBI's taxonomy places the organism in Eukaryota, Metazoa, Chordata, Mammalia, Rodentia, Caviidae. The transcript has 2 exons.